This 578-nucleotide long non-coding RNA is filed under the name Monodelphis domestica (gray short-tailed opossum). Its description in RNAcentral is "lncRNA (ENSMODG00000042187.1)". The record is from RNAcentral. Lineage: Eukaryota; Metazoa; Chordata; Mammalia; Didelphimorphia; Didelphidae.
UAUAUCUUGGGAACUCUGAAAAAGGGGUUCUGGAACCCUGGAGAGUGAGAAGGGGGAGUUUUGAAGGUGCAAUAGUCAUCUUGGGACUUGGGACUUCCUGUCCUGAAGCAAGAGAGGAAGGAGCUGCUUACUGCUGAGCCUAUUCUAACCAAGCCUAUUGGUUACUUGUUAAUCAUCUGCUCUGUGAGGCAUUAGGUGAAGAGAUGGGGAUAGAAAGGCAAAGCAGAAAACAGGCCCUGCCCUCAAGAGCUUCCGUUCUACUGGGAAGGGAGACAAGGAACAUGGACUACAGGAAGGACUUGGAUAAGUGGCCGAGCAAUCAGAGCAAGGCACCUAGGAUGGUGACAGGAACAGAAUCCAUGCCACAUGAAGAUACAGGGAGGAACUGUGCGUUUUCAGCCUAGAAAGGAGGAUGAGCACUAGAGGCAUAUUAAUGGAAAACCACUCCCUGCCUGCCUUAAGGAAGCUCACAUUCUCGCAAAAGAAAGUUCCAACUGUAACUCAGACUGAAUGACCCUGAGUUCCCAGCAGAGAAGAUGGCAGUAAAUCUGGAUGACUUAUUUCCAUUGAUAAAGUCA